This 253-nucleotide ribosomal RNA is filed under the name uncultured prokaryote. RNAcentral's name for it is "partial 16S ribosomal RNA". It matches the Rfam family "Bacterial small subunit ribosomal RNA", at positions 524 to 776 of the family's 1533-position model. The record is from RNAcentral.
UACAGAGGGUGCGAGCGUUAAUCGGAAUUAUUGGGCGUAAAGGGUGCGUAGGUGGUUAGAUAAGUUGGACGUGAAAUCCCCGGGCUUAACCUGGGAACUGCGUUCAAGACUGUUUAGCUAGAGUACGGUAGAGGUAAGUGGAAUUUCCGGUGUAGCGGUGAAAUGCGUAGAUAUCGGAAGGAACACCAGUGGCGAAGGCGGCUUACUGGAUUGAUACUGACACUGAGGCACGAGAGCGUGGGGAGCAAACAGG